Molecule: ribosomal RNA, 137 nt
Filed under: uncultured bacterium
Lineage: Bacteria
Description: partial 16S ribosomal RNA
Rfam family: Bacterial small subunit ribosomal RNA
Source: RNAcentral
GGGGAAUAUUGCACAAUGGGGGAAACCCUGAUGCAGCGACGCCGCGUGAGUGAAGAAGUAUUUCGGUAUGUAAAGCUCUAUCAGCAGGGAAGAAAAAGACGGUACCUGACUAAGAAGCCCCGGCUAACUACGUCGCC